CGUGUGGUUCUAUUUUGUUGGUUAUGGGACCGCCGUAAUGAUUAAUAGGGACAGUCGGGGGCAUCAGUAUUCAAUUGUCAGAGGUGAAAUUCUUGGAUUUAUUGAAGACUAACUACUGCGAAAGCAUUUGCCAAGGAUGUUUUCAUUAAUCAGGAACGAAAGUUAGGGGAUCGAAGACGAUCAGAUACCGUCGUAGUCUUAACCAUAAACUAUGCCGACUAGGGAUCGGGCGAUGUUACUUUUUGACUCGCUCGGCACCUUACGAGAAAUCAAAGUUUGUGGGUUCCUGGGGGAGUAUGGUGGCAACGCUGAAACUUAAAGAAAUUGACGGAAGGGCACCACCAGGGGUGGAGCCUGCGGCUUAAUUUGACUCAGCACGGGGAAACUCACCAGGUCCAGACACAAUGAGGAUUGACAGAUUGAGAGCUCUUUCUUGAUUUUGUGGGUGGUGGUGCAUGGCCGUUCUUAGUUGGUGGAGUGAUUUGUCUGCUUAAUUGCGAUAACGAACGAGACCUUAACCUGCUAAAUAGCCCGUGUUGCUUCUGCAGCACGCCGGCUUCUUAGAGGGACUAUCGGCUCAAGCCGAUGGAAGUUUGAGGCAAUAACAGGUCUGUGAUGCCCUUAGAUGUUCUGGGCCGCACGCGCGCGACACUGACAGGGUCAGCGAGUUCUCCCUUGUCCGAAAGGACCGGGUAAUCUUGUUAAACCCUGUCAUGC
This 717-nucleotide ribosomal RNA is filed under the name uncultured fungus. RNAcentral describes it as "SSU rRNA". It matches the Rfam family "Eukaryotic small subunit ribosomal RNA", at positions 828 to 1570 of the family's 1831-position model. The record is from RNAcentral. Lineage: Eukaryota; Fungi.